UGCAGCCGAGCGGUAUAGAGUAGAUUGCUACUCUAGAGAGCGGCGUACGGGUGCGGAACACGUGUGCAACCUGCCUUUAUCAGGGGGAUAGCCUUUCGAAAGGAAGAUUAAUACCCCAUAAUAUUUAGAAUGGCAUCAUUUUAAAUUGAAAACUCCGGUGGAUAGAGAUGGGCACGCGCAAGAUUAGAUAGUUGGUGAGGUAACGGCUCACCAAGUCAGUGAUCUUUAGGGGGCCUGAGAGGGUGAUCCCCCACACUGGUACUGAGACACGGACCAGACUCCUACGGGAGGCAGCAGUGAGGAAUAUUGGACAAUGGGUGAGAGCCUGAUCCAGCCAUCCCGCGUGAAGGAUGACGGCCCUAUGGGUUGUAAACUUCUUUUGUAUAGGGAUAAACCUUUCCACGUGUGGAAAGCUGAAGGUACUAUACGAAUAAGCACCGGCUAACUCCGUGCCAGCAGCCGCGGUAAUACGGAGGGUGCAAGCGUUAUCCGGAUUUAUUGGGUUUAAAGGGUCCGUAGGCGGAUGUGUAAGUCAGUGGUGAAAUCUCAUAGCUCAACUAUGAAACUGCCAUUGAUACUGCAUGUCUUGAGUGAGGUAGAAGUAGCUGGAAUAAGUAGUGUAGCGGUGAAAUGCAUAGAUAUUACUUAGAACACCAAUUGCGAAGGCAGGUUACUAUGUCUUAACUGACGCUGAUGGACGAAAGCGUGGGGAGCGAACAGGAUUAGAUACCCUGGUAGUCCACGCUGUAAACGAUGCUAACUCGUUUUUGGGUUUUCGGAUUCAGAGACUAAGCGAAAGUGAUAAGUUAGCCACCUGGGGAGUACGAACGCAAGUUUGAAACUCAAAGGAAUUGACGGGGGCCCGCACAAGCGGUGGAUUAUGUGGUUUAAUUCGAUGAUACGCGAGGAACCUUACCAAGGCUUAAAUGGGAAUUGACAGACGCAGAAAUGUGUUUUUCUUCGGACAAUUUUCAAGUGCUGCAUGGUUGUCGUCAGCUCGUGCCGUGAGUGUUAGGUUAAGUCCUGCACGAGCGCAACCCCUGUCACUAGUUG
This 1053-nucleotide ribosomal RNA is filed under the name Chryseobacterium sp. RNAcentral's name for it is "bacterial SSU rRNA". It matches the Rfam family "Bacterial small subunit ribosomal RNA", at positions 56 to 1117 of the family's 1533-position model. Lineage: Bacteria; Pseudomonadati; Bacteroidota; Flavobacteriia; Flavobacteriales; Weeksellaceae. The record is from RNAcentral.